Molecule: ribosomal RNA, 305 nt
Filed under: uncultured bacterium
Lineage: Bacteria
Description: bacterial SSU rRNA
Rfam family: Bacterial small subunit ribosomal RNA
Source: RNAcentral
AUUGCCUACGGGGCGCAGCAGUGGGGAAUAUUGGGCAAUGGGCGCAAGCCUGACCCAGCAACGCCGCGUGAAGGAAGAAGGCUUUCGGGUUGUAAACUUCUUUUGUCAGGGACGAAGCAAGUGACGGUACCUGACGAAUAAGCCACGGCUAACUACGUGCCAGCAGCCGCGGUAAUACGUAGGUGGCAAGCGUUAUCCGGAUUUAUUGGGUGUAAAGGGCGUGUAGGCGGGGAUGCAAGUCAGAUGUGAAAAUUAUGGGCUCAACCCAUAGCCUGCAUUUGAAACUGUAUUUCUUGAGGGCUGGG